This 253-nucleotide ribosomal RNA is filed under the name uncultured bacterium. RNAcentral's name for it is "partial 16S ribosomal RNA". It matches the Rfam family "Bacterial small subunit ribosomal RNA", at positions 524 to 776 of the family's 1533-position model. The record is from RNAcentral.
UACAGAGGCCCCGAGCGUUAUCCGGAAUUACUGGGCGUAAAGCGCAAGUAGUCGGUCUUUAUAGUCUGAUGUUAAAUCUCAUGGCUUAACCGUGAGACCGCAUUAGAAACGUAAAAACUAGAGCGAGUUAGAGGCAAGCGGAACGUGUGGUGUAGCGGUGAAAUGCGUUGAUAUCACACGGAACACCGAAAGCGAAGGCAGCUUGCUGGGACUCUGCUGACGAUCAGUUGCGAAAGCGUGGGGAUCAAAAAGG